Myotis davidii is the source of this 75-nucleotide non-coding RNA. NCBI's taxonomy places the organism in Eukaryota, Metazoa, Chordata, Mammalia, Chiroptera, Vespertilionidae. The record is from Rfam.
GGUGGUUCUUGGGCGAUGCACCCCAAAACUGGGCUCCCUCCUCUCCGGUUCUGGGUGUAUCACCUGAGAACCGCA